This 985-nucleotide long non-coding RNA is filed under the name Heterocephalus glaber (naked mole-rat). RNAcentral's name for it is "lncRNA (ENSHGLG00000046868.1)". Lineage: Eukaryota; Metazoa; Chordata; Mammalia; Rodentia; Bathyergidae. The record is from RNAcentral.
CAUUAUCUGGUGUCAUCUGGUGACAUCAGGGCUGCUAAUAGAACUGCACUUUACAGAUUCAUGAUUUCUAUUUGAAUCUAGCAAAAGAACCCUAGGCUGAUUGGCAACACUACCACUCUGGGAGGCUGAAGCAGGAGAAUUGCUCUCUAUUCUUCAGCUACUUUCGGAUCUAUCCAGUACAUCCUUGCCAUAGUCUACAGAGUAGGUUCUGAAUAUAUCUUUGCAGAAUAAUGUCAUCAGCUAAUUGCAGAAACCCAUCCAUCUUCGGUAAACUUUUCUCACAUGGGGUGCAGUGGGAUGCACACAAUAUACCUGGUGAAGACAUCGUCAAUCAAGUGCAAUGUUGGCCCCAACCAGAAGUUCUCACUGAAUCAGUGCUUGUUGCUCACUGACAAUGUGCAAGGAGUUUGUUAUAGUACUGCUUGCUUUGGUAGAUGAAGGUAAAUAAUGUCCAUCAGUCUUUUCAAAAAACAAAGCAUUCAAAGGAACUUAAAAUAUAGAAUUCAUUCAACAAGGAGAUUACUACAGAAAUCUGACCUAGAUAAAGGAAACUAAAGGAUGGCAAAGUGCCCAGGGAUUUGCACCAGAGGGGAGGUGGUACCAACCCUGAAAGGGCAAUGGGAGGGAUCAAGGUUAUCAGAGACAGAUGAGCUGAAGAAAGGACAGAGGGCACUGAGAGGAGCUCUCUCCACAGAGGAAUACAGUCACCACCAAAGCCCCCAUGGGUGGAGAGUAAAUACUCUAAGAUUUCUCUUUCUCUCCCUUUCCCCAAUUUCCAACCAAUGCUUCCCAUUGGCGGAGCCCAACCAGAAGUCAGAUAACAAGGGAGCCCAGGUGAAGAGGUUCGUAGUUAUCAGCCUUGUGGGGCACACUGCAAAGUAGAGAAAGUCAGAGACUGAUUUCUCUCUUUUUUCCUGGAGAAUAUUAAAUAAAAAAAAAAAAAAGAAGGAAAUAAAUAAAAGGAAAGCACUAGCUCAUCCAAGCC